Molecule: ribosomal RNA, 1431 nt
Filed under: uncultured organism
Description: SSU rRNA
Rfam family: Bacterial small subunit ribosomal RNA
Source: RNAcentral
AGGCUUAACACAUGCAAGUCGAGGGGCAUCAGGAAGACUUCUUGCUUUCUUUGCUGGCGACCGGCGCACGGGUGAGUAACACGUAUCCAACCUGCCCUUUACUCGGGGAUAGCCUUUCGAAAGAAAGAUUAAUACCCGAUAGCAUAAUGAUUCCGCAUGGUUUCAUUAUUAAAGGAUUCCGGUAAAGGAUGGGGAUGCGUUCCAUUAGGUUGUUGGUGAGGUAACGGCCCACCAAGCCUUCGAUGGAUAGGGGUUCUGAGAGGAAGGUCCCCCACAUUGGAACUGAGACACGGUCCAAACUCCUACGGGAGGCAGCAGUGAGGAAUAUUGGUCAAUGGGCGCUAGCCUGAACCAGCCAAGUAGCGUGAAGGAUGAAGGCUCUAUGGGUCGUAAACUUCUUUUAUAUAAGAAUAAAGUGCAGUAUGUAUACUGUUUUGUAUGUAUUAUAUGAAUAAGGAUCGGCUAACUCCGUGCCAGCAGCCGCGGUAAUACGGAGGAUCCGAGCGUUAUCCGGAUUUAUUGGGUUUAAAGGGAGCGUAGGUGGACUGGUAAGUCAGUUGUGAAAGUUUGCGGCUCAACCGUAAAAUUGCAGUUGAUACUGUCAGUCUUGAGUACAGUAGAGGUGGGCGGAAUUCGUGGUGUAGCGGUGAAAUGCUUAGAUAUCACGAAGAACUCCGAUUGCGAAGGCAGCUCACUGGACUGCAACUGACACUGAUGCUCGAAAGUGUGGGUAUCAAACAGGAUUAGAUACCCUGGUAGUCCACACAGUAAACGAUGAAUACUCGCUGUUUGCGAUAUACAGUAAGCGGCCAAGCGAAAGCAUUAAGUAUUCCACCUGGGGAGUACGCCGGCAACGGUGAAACUCAAAGGAAUUGACGGGGGCCCGCACAAGCGGAGGAACAUGUGGUUUAAUUCGAUGAUACGCGAGGAACCUUACCCGGGCUUAAAUUGCAGUGGAAUGAUGUGGAAACAUGUCAGUGAGCAAUCACCGCUGUGAAGGUGCUGCAUGGUUGUCGUCAGCUCGUGCCGUGAGGUGUCGGCUUAAGUGCCAUAACGAGCGCAACCCUUAUCUUUAGUUACUAACAGGUUAUGCUGAGGACUCUAGAGAGACUGCCGUCGUAAGAUGUGAGGAAGGUGGGGAUGACGUCAAAUCAGCACGGCCCUUACGUCCGGGGCUACACACGUGUUACAAUGGGGGGUACAGAAGGCAGCUAGCGGGUGACAGGAUGCUAAUCCCAAAAACCUCUCUCAGUUCGGAUCGAAGUCUGCAACCCGACUUCGUGAAGCUGGAUUCGCUAGUAAUCGCGCAUCAGCCAUGGCGCGGUGAAUACGUUCCCGGGCCUUGUACACACCGCCCGUCAAGCCAUGAAAGCCGGGGGUACCUGAAGUACGUAACCGCAAGGAGCGUCCUAGGGUAAAACUGGUAAUUGG